GUGAGGAAUAUUGGUCAAUGGGCGGGAGCCUGAACCAGCCAAGUCGCGUGAAGGAAGAAGGAUCUAUGGUUCGUAAACUUCUUUUGCAGGGGAAUAAAGUGCAGGACGUGUCCUGUUUUGUAUGUACCCUGAGAAUAAGGAUCGGCUAACUCCGUGCCAGCAGCCGCGGUAAUACGGAGGAUCCGAGCGUUAUCCGGAUUUAUUGGGUUUAAAGGGUGCGUAUGUGGUUUGAUAAGUCAGCGGUGAAAGUUUGCAGCUUAACUGUAAAAAUGCCGUUGAAACUGUCGGACUUGAGUGUAAAUGAGGUAGGCGGAAUGCGUGGUGUAGCGGUGAAAUGCAUAGAUAUCACGCAGAACUCCGAUUGCGAAGGCAGCUUACUAAGCUACAACUGACACUGAAGCACGAAAGCGUGGGGAUCAAACAGGAUUAGAUACCCGAGUAGUCC
RNAcentral lists this ribosomal RNA (445 nucleotides) under uncultured bacterium. RNAcentral's name for it is "partial 16S ribosomal RNA". It matches the Rfam family "Bacterial small subunit ribosomal RNA", at positions 354 to 796 of the family's 1533-position model. The record is from RNAcentral.